RNAcentral lists this transfer-messenger RNA (360 nucleotides) under Spirochaetota bacterium. Its description in RNAcentral is "Spirochaetes bacterium transfer-messenger RNA". It matches the Rfam family "transfer-messenger RNA". From Rfam's summary of the family: Bacterial tmRNA, also known as 10Sa RNA or SsrA, is named for its dual tRNA and mRNA-like properties. Its role is to liberate the mRNA from a stalled ribosome. The record is from RNAcentral. Lineage: Bacteria; Pseudomonadati; Spirochaetota.
GGGGGCGAAUUGGAUUCGACUGCGGUAGAUGGAGCUUAAACUGCAUGCCGAGGUGCCCAGGCCUCGUUAAAAAGGGCAACAAAAUUUAAGUGCCGAUUACGAAGCAUUACCUGUAGCAGCAUAAAAUAAGCUGCUACCGUCUCUCACCAUCUUCCUCCUGGGAUGGGGAUGAGGCGUCGCCAACAGGAGGAACUGUAUAGCCUUUUCCUGAAGGGGUUAUACAGUUACACUACUUCAGGAUAGGUUUCCGUGGCCUGCCUGAAAGCCUCCGGAAGCUGAAUCAGCAAUUUCAGGCUAAGCAUGUAGAUGUUUAAGUAACCUUACUGCAGGACGCGGGUUCGAUUCCCGCCGCCUCCACAG